CGGACGGGUGAGUAACGCGUGGAAAACCCUGCCGUAUACGUGGGGGAUAACACUUAGAAAUAGGUGCUAAUACCGCAUAAGCGCACAGCUUCGCAUGAAGCGGUGUGAAAAAACUCUGGUGGUAUACGAUGGUUCCGCGUCUGAUUAGCUAGUUGGUGGGGUAAGUAGGCCCUACCAAGGCAACGAUCAGUAGCCGGCCUGAGAGGGUGAACGGCCACAUUGGGACUGAGACACGGCCCAAACUCCUACGGAAGGCAGCAG
This 261-nucleotide ribosomal RNA is filed under the name uncultured bacterium. RNAcentral's name for it is "partial 16S ribosomal RNA". It matches the Rfam family "Bacterial small subunit ribosomal RNA", at positions 99 to 354 of the family's 1533-position model. The record is from RNAcentral.